CCUACGGGAGACAGCAGUGAGGAAUAUUGGUCAAUGGACGAGAGUCUGAACCAGCCAAGUAGCGUGAAGGAUGACUGCCCUAUGGGUUGUAAACUUCUUUUAUAUGGGAAUAAAACGUUCCACGUGUGGGAUUUUGUAUGUACCAUAUGAAUAAGGAUCGGCUAACUCCGUGCCAGCAGCCGCGGUAAUACGGAGGAUCCGAGCGUUAUCCGGAUUUAUUGGGUUUAAGGGGAGCGUAGGUGGAUUGUUAAGUCAGUUGUGAAAGUUUGCGGCUCAACCGUAAAAUUGCAGUUGAAACUGGCAGUCUUGAGUACAGUAGAGGUGGGCGGAAUUCGUGGUGUAGCGGUGAAAUGCUUAGAUAUCACGAAGAACUCCGAUUGCGAAGGCAGUUCACUGGACUGCAACUGACACUGAGGCUCGAAAGUGUGGGUAUCAAACAGGAUUAGAUACCCUUGUAGUC
This 460-nucleotide ribosomal RNA is filed under the name uncultured bacterium. RNAcentral's name for it is "partial 16S ribosomal RNA". It matches the Rfam family "Bacterial small subunit ribosomal RNA", at positions 338 to 795 of the family's 1533-position model. The record is from RNAcentral.